AAUGUACUCCCUCCGUCCAAAAAUACUCGUCGGAGGAAUGAAUGUAUCUAGAUGCAUUUUAGUUCUAAAUACAUUCAUUUUUAUGCAUUUCUUCGACGAGUAUUUUCGGACGGAGGGAGUAGAAC
Triticum aestivum (bread wheat) is the source of this 125-nucleotide non-coding RNA. NCBI's taxonomy places the organism in Eukaryota, Viridiplantae, Streptophyta, Magnoliopsida, Poales, Poaceae. The record is from Rfam.